RNAcentral lists this long non-coding RNA (6496 nucleotides) under Sus scrofa (pig). RNAcentral describes it as "lncRNA (ENSSSCG00065020864.1)". Lineage: Eukaryota; Metazoa; Chordata; Mammalia; Artiodactyla; Suidae. The record is from RNAcentral.
CCAUACAGCCUGGCUUGUUUCAAGUACCACCUACGGAAGCUCUCAAAGUGCCCCCCGUCCCCCGCCUCCCGAGAACUAGUCCCGCAGAGUGAGUUGUGGGCAGCUGUCCACUCCGGGCUCUGUGGACUCCCUCUUUCCAUCACGAGCACCUUCCCUUUGGAGGCACAACCUUGGCUGGGAGAGCACCACAUUCCUGCUGUGCCAGCACCCAGCCACCUUCCCGACGCCCCCUUUUCUCUCUCUCCAAGGGCAGCUUGUCAGUUUUGCCUCUAAGAAGCCCUCUCAUGCUGAUCCUUCUACGUCUACGCUUUACCUAUGUACCUAGUUUAAGCCCUUGUCACUCCUUCUGUGAUCACGAUGGAAUCUCCUAAAUGGAUCUCUUCCUCCAGACAUUCUUGCUCUAACCCUGUCUGGUGACCACCGAGCACCGGAGGCGUGACGGGUGCAACCAACGAAGAAGAGCUUUAAUGGUCUUUCACGUUGACUUCUUUAAUCUUAAAAAAGCUGAAGCUCCAUUCAGGUAGGAGAACAUUUUUAAGAACCCUGGCAACUCUUGGAAAUGUGGGGAAUCUGCUUGUCAACUGGGAAUUUUAUGAAAUCUAAAUACAAUCUGAGUACCUCAGAUAAGAGUUUAGCUUCCAAAUUGGGACAUGCUGUUAAGUAUAAAAUACCGGCUCUCAAAGACGUCAUGCCAAGAAAGUACGUAAAAUCUGAUGUUCAUUAGUUUUUAAAUUGAUUACAUGUGGGAAUGAUAGUAUUUUGGAGGCAUUGUGUCAUGUUGAAUCUAUUGUUGUGCUUAUAUCAUCUGCUUCUUUUUACUAUUUUUUAAGUGUGCCUAUUAGAAAAAUUUGAAAUUGCAUGUGUGGCUAGUUCUUUCUUUCUUUUAUUUUUGAAAGAUUUUCUGAUUAAAAUGUUUCCUAGUGAUAGUUUCCCAGGUUACAGAGUUUUAUUCAUUCAUUCAUUCGUUUUUAUUAAAGUAUAGUUGAUUUACAGUGUUGUGCCAAUUUUGGCUUUACAGCAAAGUAACCCAGUCAUACACACCCUCCCCAUAUAUAAAUUUCUUUUUCUCAUAUUAUCUUCCAUCCUGCUCCAUCCCAAGAGACUGGACAUUGUUCCGUGCGCUGCACAGUAGGAUCUCAUGGCUUAUCCAUUCUAAGUGUAAUAGUUCGAAUGAGUGUCUUCGUUCAGUGAUUCUCCACCUGCCAGCAGUAAGUGACUUGCUCUCCGGCCUCCACUGCUCUGCGCCUUGCUGCUCUGUCUGCAGAGUAAAACCAGGGCCCAAGGAAGCCCACCUUCUCUGGUCCACCCUGGGCUUCACAGCUCCGGAUGUCCAUCUCCCAACACCCACCCAUGGAGCGCUCUGUCUUGAGGUCUGCUCUUCUGCCACUUUUUCUGCCUCUGGACAUUUUCUAGCUGCCCCUCCCCAGCCAAGCAAAAGAAAACAAAGCAAAACUCCAGAGGAACUGUUCUCUCCAUUGAAGAAUCAGCUCGAGUAUCUUCUCCGAAGCACAGUUGGUCUCUGCUGCCUCCGCCCAGACCCAGCAAAGCUCCUCCCGGCUGUGUCCACCUUGUGGGCCACUUUCUGGGGUGACAUUAUAAUAAUUCCCACAUCAAUCCCAGCAUCCUCCUCAACCCGCCAGCUCACCAUCUCAGCGACCCGGGAUCGCCAGCCCCACCAGGGGAGUGCUUGGAUGCAUGAAUGAAAUGAACAGGAAUAUGUCAGUGUUGCUAAUUCACACCAAUAAAUAAAACCUCUCCUGCAGAUUUGAAGGCACGAUCAUUUGACGUGGGUUCUCCUUUCUGUACCUGGAAAAGCAGCAAAAGUGGGGCUUGAUGAAGUAAAGAAUCAGAGCACAAUGAAAGUGGGAAACCUAAGAAGCAUGCCUGAUGCCAGGUAGCCAGAGCACUUUCAAAGGAACAAUCACAGGCCUUCUGACUCCCCUCUUACUUGUCUCUGCAGCUGUGAUUGUCUUUUUUCUUUUCUUCUCUUUUUCUCUGAAAGCCUAUUACCAGGCUCUUGGCCAACACUUCCUCCUGAAAGAUGUGUACGUGUCUUCAGACAGGUACAAUCCAGGCUUGUUGGUCUGAGGUCUGUUCUGCCUUUUCUCAGGAAGUUUUGCAAACCUGCAGCCUGAGUCAGUGACAAUGGAUCGUAAAUUUGCUCGGAAGUGAAAUGUACAUUUCCUGAUGCGUGUUAUCACACACUGAAAUCUCUCUUCACAACUCUUGAUUUUAAAAAAUGUGUUUAAGUGCUCAAAACCGUAUCUUCUGCUUUGUAAAGCACAUGUUAAGUUUUAGAACAAGUUUGGUGUCUUCCUCCCAGAGUUUAUUUGGCAUUGACCUAUUUGCUGGGAGCUCAAAUUCUAAGUCUGGACAGCACACACUCUUCCGUUCACAAGCAGUUUAUCAUCCAAAUAUGAACAGCAAAGCCAAGCAAAGCAUUGGACAGCAGAAGCAGGAAAGCAGGCUGCUCUUAUCAGGGUGAAGGAGAUUGGCGGCCCAUUAGGAGAGUGUCCACAAAAGAGAAAACCUGAAAUACAAUAAAUAUUUACUUGUUUAUAUUUUUCUCUUCUAUAAUUACCAUAGUGACCUCGUGCCUGAUAAAAACAUCAACAGAGCAGGGAGAAGACAGGCCCCAGCUGGGCUCUCCAAAAACGGCUUCUCAGGGGUCAGGAAAGUUUAACCUAUUUAUAUGAACUCACUGAAUUAAAUAAGCAUGAUUUAAUACCGCAGGACAGAGCAAAAGAAAACGGCACGGCUUUGCCAGAGUAAUCCUCUUUCAGGUCCUUCAAUAAUUCCUAGCACUUUGAAGAGCUUCCCCUUUUUUUAAUAUUUGUUGUUGCACUUUUUAUUUUUCUUCCCAGUAGUCACUCUGCGUGUGUUUUUAAACUGCUGAUGGUUUAAACUCCUAAUGGGCUGUGAGAGCCGUGCCAUCUUGGUGACUCAGCCACCCUGGACGUCAAGUGAACUCCAUGCUUCGUGUGGUUUAAACUCUCUGAACGAGACCCUAUUCUUCCUUCACAGGCACCCUGGGGGAUCCACUUUUCCUUCUUAUCUUCAUCCAUGGUUUGUCUGAUGUCUCGGUUCCAGUGGUUGCCCCAUGAAUACAACAGCCUGCAUCACAGCCACCCGUGGAGGCUUGCUUAAACCCACGGCUGACCCUGUCCUCAGAGGUGCUGAGUCACUCGUCUGCGUGGAACCUGCAAGUCUGCAUUCUUAACCAGGACCCGGGGCUGAGGCUGCUGGGGGUCCAGCUAUCGCAUCUGAGGACCUCUGCAAGAUGGAGAUUUUUUUCCAGGGAGCAGGAUGUGGAGCCCGGAAGAUGUUGGGAGCCCAGGCCUCCAUCUUCCCAUCUUUGAACUACUUUCCAGAAUGCUUGUCUGGGCUUCCCUGAUGUUGGCCACGAGAUCAUAUGUGUGAAGAGUUUUUAAGCCUCAAGAUCAGUUGAUGUAUGUGGAAGGGGAUGUACUUUUCAGCAGCGGCUACCCACGUUUUCAUAAAGUCCUUAAGGAGUCCUCUCUCCUUGCUUCCUUUCCUCUUUGGGGACCAUGUUCUUUGAAUACAUCUGUUGGGAGGGGAAGGCACUAACCAGAGCUCUUUUGGAUCAGGCUGAUCGUUUAUUUAUUUGUUUUGAAAAGUUUAUUUAUAUAUAUAUAAAGUAAUAUAUGGAUACCAUACGCAGAUGCAUAUGUGUGUGUGUGUAUAUAUCUAUUCUUUGUCAGAGUCUUUCCCCACAGGCUAUUACGGAGGAGAUUCCCUGUCCUGCAGAGUAGGUCCUUGUUACUCAUGCAUUGCAUGCAGAGUGGUGUGUAUACGUUAAUCCCGACCUCCUGAUGCGUCCUUCCCCCCAGCUCUUUCCUCUUUGGUAACCCUAAUUUUGAUUUCAAAAUCUUUGAGUCUGUUUCUGUUUUGUGAAUAAGUUCCUUUUACCAGAUUCUUAGCCCACUGAGUGAGGCCAGGGAUCAAACCCACAUCCUCAUGGAUAAUAGUCAGGUUUGUAAGCCCCUGGGCCUCUAUAGGAACUCCUGGAUGGCAUUGUUUCAUUCUUUUUUAAGGCUGAGUAAUAUUCUAUUGCAUGUACGUACCACAUCCUUUUUACCCCGUCCUCUUUUGAUGGACAUUCAGGUUGCUUCCAUGCCUUGACUAUUGUGAAUACUGCUGCAUGAACAUUGUGGUGCAUGUAUAUUUUUGGAUUAUGGUUUUCCCCAGAUAGAUGCCCAGGCAUGGGAUUGCUGGAUCAUAUGGUAGUUCUACGUUUAAUUUUUUAAGGAACCUCCAUACUCUUCUCCACAGGGCUUGCCCCAGUUUACAUUCCCACCAAAAGUGCUGAUUUUUUAGCUCGAACAUGUUCUGCUCUGACGUGGAGACCCUGGCACACCCUCCACUUCUUCCAACCUUCUCCACACCGUGGACUCCCCUGAGCAAAUCGUUUUUGCCUGUGACGAGACCCAACUUGGACUUCCAGGUUUCUGCUGCAGGUUCGUGGAUUUAUUUAGAUCAAAAUCUCAGAAGUUUUUUUUUUUUUAAUGUAAAUUGCUGACAAGUAAACUCCUCACAUGUGAAAUUCAUCCAGCCUUCUGUUCCCUCCUUCAUGGAUUUAUGCGUUAAUUCAUUUGAAAAAUAUGACUUGAUAAUCUGCUCAAGUUCAGCAUAGCAGGGCUUUGAUAUUUACAUAUUAACAUACAACUACACACCUAGCCUUAUUAGGUUUAAUUGUGAGUAUUUCUAUUCUCACUCUAAUCUCUUUGUCUUAAGGAUUUUGAUCCUUUCUUAAUUAACAGGUCGAUUUUAUUGAAACUCAUGAUAGUAGUCAUAAUACCUACAUGUUAUCAAAACAAUUAUACUUUUAAAAUUUCUCUUUGUGGAAUGAUUUGAAAUGUGCUUUAUAAAUAAUACUAGAGGAAUCAACAAUAAAUUAGUAGAAAAGGAACUACGAGUUUAACUUGAAGUCAUUCUGAAAACAUACUAGAAUUUUUAAAUUAUUUCUUUUUUAGUAAAUGUAUUUUUUUAGGGUAUAGUUGAUUUGUUGAGUCAAUUUCUGCUGUAUAGUGUAGUGACCCAGUCAUACACACACACACACACACACACACACACACACACAUUCUUUUUCUUAUAUUAUCUUCCAUUACAGUCUAUCCCAAGGCAAUCCUACUCCUGGGCAUAUAUAUGGAUAAAACUACAAUUCAAAAAGAUACAUGCACCCUUAUAGUCAUUGCAGCACUAUUCACAAUAGUCAAGACAUAGGAGCAACCUAAAUGUCCACUGCCAGAUGAAUGGAUUAAGGUGUGGUACAUACAUACAAUGGAAUACUACUCGGCCAUAAAAGGAGCAAAAUAAUGCCAUUUGCAACGACGUGGAUGCAGUUAGAGAGUCUCGUACUAAGUGAAUAAGUCAGCAAGAGAAACACAAAUACCAUGUGAUAGCGCUUAUUAUAUGGAAUCUAAAAUACGGAUUGUGCCCUUUGAAGCUGUAUCAUCUCUUGGGCUCUCUGGCUCACUGUUCAGUUACUUGGUGUUCAUCAAUAUGUCUUCCUCUAAGGAAACAGUUCAAGUAGGACUUGAAUAAUUGGAGCUACUUUAGCUUGUCAGCAGAGCCCCCUCCCUUUCCACCGUCAUCACCAGCAUCGUGGUUGUACGGUACGAUGCUGCCACACUUAUGGAGGCAACAAAGUGUAUGACAGCCUGCCCACGUACCUCCAAGAUAGUCCAAACAUCUGUUUAAAAACUUGGCAAAAUGAAUGAAACAACAUCUAUGGUGCUUUUUGGUCUGCUGCUGUGUUCUCCGGUCUCACCAGUAGUUAAUCUGGUGGUUAUCACCUACCUGUCUGUCUGUCUGUCUGUCUAUCCUCUGUCCUAAACCAAGUUGACUAAUGAUCUCAUUCUAAAUUCCAUCAGGGGCCUCUGUAACGCCUCCCAGCUUACAGAUUCUAGUGUCCGGAAGCUCCCGUUUUGGAAGAAGGAGCAUGAUUCAGGAAAGGUGACCAGUGCUGCUUUUGUUAUGUAAUUUAGCCGGGAGGGAAAGAGGAACAACGGCAAGGAUAACGCCUCAGGCAAGGAUAACGCCUCAGUGUGUGCUCUCCAGUCUCUACAACCCUUCCCCAGGUCGCCAAAGUCACUCUUCUUCACAGCAAAGUGAGUUUGUUCUCUUCUCUGUUUUCCCCCCGGCGGAGUAACUUGGUCAAAACCCACAGGAAGGGGAGAGCUGAGCCUCGCACUGGGUCUUCUCACCCCAGAUCCUGUAUCGUUCAAAGAAGUUCAGUAACACAGGGUCAAAGGAUUCUUCUUUUUCAGACUGUCUCUGAGUUAACAGUAAGUGAGAUGAACUUGAGUUUAGGAAUUGGAACCCUGGUCAGCUCGUUUUUUAUUUUUGUUUUGUUUUUAUUUUUCCUUGCAGAUGUUUAUUAUUUAUGUCAUUAUUUUGCCAAACUGAGCCAAGGUUUUCUUAAAACCAAGAUAAAUUUCCUUGGUCUAAAAAAAAAAGAAAAAAAGAAAAAAAA